CAAUUCGCAGGCUGCGUACUUGGUAGGACGCAUUUUGAGGCCGGUGACGUCACAACGCUGCGCGGAGGCCGUCCCAUUUGGCAAAAAUUCUGAGGACGCUUAAAAUGCAGCCUUAAAAUGCGUCCUCCUUUUCCCCGAAUUCUGAGGAUGCAUCGCUACCGUCCUUAGUGGCCUCGCCUCCCACAAGAUUUCCCGAGGUGCUUUGCGCGCUUCUUCUUUUUGUUUUUUUUUUUUCUAGUAGUUGAAGAAGAAGAAGAAGAAAGCCGGAUUUUCUUCAAGUUACGGACAACCGAAAGCAGCAGCAGCGCCGGCAGUAGUGGGGAGAACACCUUUAAAUGGAUCAGACAGAGGAGUGGAUAAAAUGACCACCUCAUCAUCGGGGC
This is a long non-coding RNA of Cyprinodon tularosa, 383 nucleotides long. RefSeq lists it as uncharacterized. NCBI's taxonomy places the organism in Eukaryota, Metazoa, Chordata, Actinopteri, Cyprinodontiformes, Cyprinodontidae. The transcript has 2 exons. The record is from RefSeq and is a predicted model, not a curated record.